RNAcentral lists this ribosomal RNA (468 nucleotides) under uncultured bacterium. RNAcentral's name for it is "partial 16S ribosomal RNA". It matches the Rfam family "Bacterial small subunit ribosomal RNA", at positions 28 to 507 of the family's 1533-position model. The record is from RNAcentral.
GACGAACGCUGGCGGCGUGCUUAACACAUGCAAGUCGAACGGAAAGGCCCUGCUUUUGUGGGGUGCUCGAGUGGCGAACGGGUGAGUAACACGUGAGUAACCUGCCCUUGACUUUGGGAUAACUUCAGGAAACUGGGGCUAAUACCGGAUAGGAGCUCCUGCUGCAUGGUGGGGGUUGGAAAGUUUCGGCGGUUGGGGAUGGACUCGCGGCUUAUCAGCUUGUUGGUGGGGUAGUGGCUUACCAAGGCAUUGACGGGUAGCCGGCCUGAGAGGGUGACCGGCCACAUUGGGACUGAGAUACGGACCAGACUCCUACGGGAGGCAGCAGUGGGGAAUAUUGCACAAUGGGCGGAAGCCUGAUGCAGCAACGCCGCGUGCGGGAUGACGGCCUUCGGGUUGUAAACAGCUUUCGCCUGUGACGAAGCGUGAGUGACGGUAAUGGGUAAAGAAGCACCGGCUAACUACGUG